This 468-nucleotide ribosomal RNA is filed under the name uncultured bacterium. RNAcentral's name for it is "SSU rRNA". It matches the Rfam family "Bacterial small subunit ribosomal RNA", at positions 26 to 518 of the family's 1533-position model. The record is from RNAcentral.
AGGACGAACGCUGGCGGUGUGCUUCACACAUGCAAGUCGAACGGGGUAGCAAUACCCAGUGGCGGACGGGUGAGUAACGCGUAGGAAUCUGCCUUAAGAUGGGGGAUAGCAGACCGAAAGGUCUAUUAAUACCGCAUAUGUAUACAGCCCGACAGGGCAGUAUAUGAAAGGAGUAAUCCGUCUUUAGAUGAGCCUGCGUCCGAUUAGCUAGUUGGUAGGGUAAAAGCCUACCAAGGCGACGAUCGGUAGCUGGUCUGAGAGGAUGAUCAGCCACAAUGGGACUGAGACACGGCCCAUACUCCUACGGGAGGCAGCAGUGGGGGAAUUUUGUGCAAUGGGCGAAAGCCUGACACAGCGACACCGCGUGAGCGAAGAAGCCCUUUGGGGUGUAAAGCUCUGUCGGCUGGAACGAAAAAAAUGACGGUACCAGCAAAGGAAGACAUCGGCUAACUACGUGCCAGCAGCCGC